Molecule: long non-coding RNA, 224 nt
Organism: Balaenoptera ricei (Rice's whale)
Lineage: Eukaryota; Metazoa; Chordata; Mammalia; Artiodactyla; Balaenopteridae
Exons: 3
Source: RefSeq, a predicted model, not a curated record
UGGCCUGAGGAGCAGGGACGGGAGCUUCGAGACUAAGGCAGCGCGAAAGUGGCCACAGAGCAGAACGGGCACAAUGAACGCUUCCAUGGGACUCCCUCUGUGUUGAAUUGAUGCACCAGAGGCAGCAGACAUAUCCGCAUUUCAGGCCACUCCAUUACCAUCACUGCCCUGGUACCUGCAGAAGCCUGUGUUACAGAUUCUGAGGAUUAGGAUACAGACACCAG